This 619-nucleotide long non-coding RNA is filed under the name Phaseolus vulgaris (common bean). Its description in RNAcentral is "long non-coding RNA (PVUL_LNC001182)". Lineage: Eukaryota; Viridiplantae; Streptophyta; Magnoliopsida; Fabales; Fabaceae. The record is from RNAcentral.
UUUUAUUAUUUAUUAUUUUAUUAAUUUAAAUUAAUUUUUUUACUUAAGUUAAUUUAUUUAGAUAAUUUCAAUAUUAUUUAUUAUUUUUUAAAUUAUGUUAUGUUAUAUAUAUAUAAUUAUUAUUAAUAAUGAUUUCCAUUAUUAUCAUUAACAAAAUCAAUAUAUUUGAAAACGUUAAUGGAUAAAGGAAGACUAUGGUGGUAACUUCAUGUGUGUGACGUGAUUUUCCCUUCAUCACUCUAUCAUUUCUCUUCAUUCUUGAAAUGAUCCCCAACCUCUCCACUUUCUCCGUCAACACCCUCACCUGCAUGUAACCCUUGAAAUAAACGGGAGUGAUACCCACACAUCCGUUGUCGACAACUGUGUCACCCCUAAAACAAACAUAGUGUAAGUAACUUUUUUUUUUAUCAGUACCUCUCAGAAACAAUUUAACAUAAAUAUAUAGUCAAUUACAAUAUAAUCUUUAAAUAUUAGACUAUUAUAUUGUAAAAUUUAUAUUUAUAUUUACUCUAUUAGCAAUUUUAAUCAUUAUAAGUGUUAAUACAAUUAUUUAAUUUGUUAUUUUUAUUUAAUGUCAAUUUCUUAUUCAAUUAUUUUAUUCAGUUAUUUUUUAUCUCUG